AUGCCUCAGUGGCACACAUACUAAAAUUGGAGUGACACGGAGAAGAUUAGCACGGCCUUGUGCAAGGAUGACACACAGAUUCGUGAAGUAUCCCAUAUUUAU
RNAcentral lists this small nuclear RNA (102 nucleotides) under Catagonus wagneri (Chacoan peccary). Lineage: Eukaryota; Metazoa; Chordata; Mammalia; Artiodactyla; Tayassuidae. The record is from RNAcentral.